This 937-nucleotide ribosomal RNA is filed under the name uncultured Cyanidiales. RNAcentral describes it as "partial 16S ribosomal RNA". It matches the Rfam family "Eukaryotic small subunit ribosomal RNA", at positions 511 to 1452 of the family's 1831-position model. The record is from RNAcentral. Lineage: Eukaryota; Rhodophyta; Bangiophyceae; Cyanidiales.
GGAAUGACAUUUAUUUAAACGUUAAACGGAGUAACGAUUGGAGGGCAAGUCUGGUGCCAGCAGCCGCGGUAAUUCCAGCUCCAAUAGCGUACACGAACGUUGUUGCAGUUAAAACGCCCGUAGUCUGAAUUGUGAGGUUUUUGGAAUUUUUUUGCAAUCCUUUGUAAGAAAUUCCAAGGGACCUCAUCUGGAAGUGCAUACCUUGAGUGGUCUUGAUUGAUUGCUUGAGGUUGUGCACUUGAACUUUACUGUGAAAAAAUUAGAGUGUUUCAAGCGUUUUUUGUGAAAGGAUAGCUUAGCAUGGUAUAAACGAAUCGAGGCCAUUUCAUGUUUGGUAUAGGAGCAUGAAAUGUUUAGCCAAAAAAAUCAACAGGGGUAGUUGGGGCCAUUUGUAUUCCAUAGUCAGAGGUGAAAUUCUUGGAUUUUUGGAAGACAUACUGCUGCGAAAGCGUUUGGCAAGGAUAUACCCAUUGAUCAAGGACGAAAGUUAGGGGAUCGAAGACGAUUAGAUACCGUCGUAGUCUUAACCAUAAACGAUGCCAUCUAAGAGAUGGUGUAUUGAAUGAUAAAAUCGUACAUCCUUUUUUUCCGGGAAACCAAAGCUUUUGGGUUCUGGGGGGAGUAUGGUCGCAAGUCUGAAACUUAAAGGAAUUGACGGAAGGGCACCACCAGGAGUGGAGCCUGCGGCUUAAUUUGACUCAACACGGGGCAACUUACCAGGUCCGGACAUUUUUAUGAUUGACAGAUUGAUAGCUCUUUCUUGAUUGGAUGGGUGGUGGUGCAUGGCCGUUCUUAGUUGGUGGAGUGAUUUGUCUGGUUAAUUCCGUUAACGAACGAGACCUUUUCCUGCUAACUAGUUUUAUUUAUUUUCUUUGAAAGGAAAUGGAUAAACUUCUUAGAGGUACUAUUCGUUUUUCACGGAUGGAAGUUGUAGGCA